UACGGAGGAUCCGAGCGUUAUCCGGAUUUAUUGGGUUUAAAGGGUGCGUAGGCGGGAAUUUAAGUCAGUGGUGAAAGUUUAGGGCUCAACCUUAAAAUUGCCGUUGAAACUGGAUUUCUUGAGUACGGUAGAGGUAGGCGGAAUUUGUGGUGUAGCGGUGAAAUGCUUAGAUAUCACGAAGAACUCCGAUUGCGAAGGCAGCUUACCGGACCGUAACUGACGCUGAGGCACGAAAGUGUGGGGAUCAAACAGG
RNAcentral lists this ribosomal RNA (253 nucleotides) under uncultured bacterium. RNAcentral's name for it is "partial 16S ribosomal RNA". It matches the Rfam family "Bacterial small subunit ribosomal RNA", at positions 524 to 776 of the family's 1533-position model. The record is from RNAcentral.